Molecule: ribosomal RNA, 500 nt
Filed under: uncultured bacterium
Lineage: Bacteria
Description: partial 16S ribosomal RNA
Rfam family: Bacterial small subunit ribosomal RNA
Source: RNAcentral
AUUGAACGCUGGCGGCAGGCCUAACACAUGCAAGUCGAGCGGAUGACGGGAGCUUGCUCCUUGAUUCAGCGGCGGACGGGUGAGUAAUGCCUAGGAAUCUGCCUGGUAGUGGGGGACAACGUUUCGAAAGGAACGCUAAUACCGCAUACGUCCUACGGGAGAAAGCAGGGGACCUUCGGGCCUUGCGCUAUCAGAUGAGCCUAGGUCGGAUUAGCUAGUAGGUGAGGUAAUGGCUCACCUAGGCGACGAUCCGUAACUGGUCUGAGAGGAUGAUCAGUCACACUGGAACUGGGACACGGUCCAGGCUCCUACGGGAGGCAGCAGUGGGGAAUAUUGGACAAUGGGCGAAAGCCUGAUCCAGCCAUGCCGCGUGUGUGAAGAAGGUCUUCGGAUUGUAAAGCACUUUAAGUUGGGAGGAAGGGUUGUACGUUAAUACCGUGCAAUUUUGACGUUACCGACAGAAUAAGCACCGGCUAACUCUGUGCCAGCAGCCGCCGCGG